CCUACGGGGGGCAGCAGUGGGGAAGAUUGGGCAAUGGGCGCAAGCCUGACCCAGCAACGCCGCGUGAAGGAAGAAGGCUUUCGGGUUGUAAACUUCUUUUCUCAGGGACGAAGAAAGUGACGGUACCGGAGGAAUAAGCCACGGCUAACUACGUGCCAGCAGCCGCGGUAAUACGUAGGGGGCAAUCGUUAUCCGGAUUUAUUGGCUGUAAAGGGCGUGUAGGCGGGAUCGACAGUCAGAUGUGAAAACUGAGGGCUCACCCCUGUGCCUUCCUUUGAAACUGUGGUUCUUGAGUGCUGGGGAGGCAAUCGGCAUUCCGUGUGUAUCGGUGAAAUGCGUAGAUAUUCGGAGGCACACCAGUGGCGAAGGCGGAUUGCUGGACCGUACCUGACGCUGAGGCGCGAAAGCGUGGGGAGCAAACAGGAUUAGAUACCCGAGUAGUC
This 443-nucleotide ribosomal RNA is filed under the name uncultured bacterium. RNAcentral's name for it is "partial 16S ribosomal RNA". It matches the Rfam family "Bacterial small subunit ribosomal RNA", at positions 338 to 795 of the family's 1533-position model. The record is from RNAcentral.